Molecule: ribosomal RNA, 253 nt
Filed under: uncultured bacterium
Lineage: Bacteria
Description: partial 16S ribosomal RNA
Rfam family: Bacterial small subunit ribosomal RNA
Source: RNAcentral
UACAGAGGUCUCAAGCGUUGUUCGGAUUCAUUGGGCGUAAAGGGUGCGUAGGCGGCGCGGUAAGUCGGGUGUGAAAUCUCGGGGCUUAACUCCGAAACUGCAUUCGAUACUGGCGUGCUUGAGGACUGGAGAGGAGACUGGAAUUCAUGGUGUAGCAGUGAAAUGCGUAGAGAUCAUGAGGAAGACCAGUGGCGAAGGCGGGUCUCUGGACAGUUCCUGGCACUGAGACACGAAGGCCAGGGGAGCAAACGGG